CGCACAUUGCACUCCUUGGUAUUCCGGGGAGUAUGCCUGUUCGAGCGUCAUUACACCCUUCAAGCUUUGCUUGGUAUUGGAAUUCAUCUGUCAAAGGAUGUUUCCGAAAAUGAGUGGCAGUUUGUAAUAACUUCAAGCGUGGUGAAAAUUUUACGCUCUGAUACUUGUGCGAACUUGCCAAAAUCACAUCUUCAAUAAUUUGACCUCGGAUCAGGUAGGGAUACCCGCUGAACUUAA
This 237-nucleotide unclassified non-coding RNA is filed under the name Micarea xanthonica. RNAcentral's name for it is "partial contains 5.8S ribosomal RNA, internal transcribed spacer 2, and large subunit ribosomal RNA". Lineage: Eukaryota; Fungi; Ascomycota; Lecanoromycetes; Lecanorales; Micareaceae. The record is from RNAcentral.